This 253-nucleotide ribosomal RNA is filed under the name uncultured bacterium. Its description in RNAcentral is "partial 16S ribosomal RNA". It matches the Rfam family "Bacterial small subunit ribosomal RNA", at positions 524 to 776 of the family's 1533-position model. The record is from RNAcentral. RNAcentral also lists the same sequence under 1 other name.
UACGGAGGGUGCGAGCGUUUAUCGGAAUUACUGGGCGUAAAGCGCGCGUAGGCGGCUUGUUAAGUCGGAUGUGAAAUCCCCGGGCUCAACCUGGGAACUGCAUCCGAUACUGGCGAGCUGGAGUGCGAUAGAGGGGGGUAGAAUUCCUAGUGUAGCGGUGAAAUGCGUAGAUAUUAGGAGGAAUACCGGUGGCGAAGGCGGCCCCCUGGAUCGACACUGACGCUGAGGUGCGAAAGCGUGGGUAGCAAACAGG